GUUAUUGUUUACUCGGAAUGAAUGCAUCAAACGGGAAAAGGUGUAGAAAAUCGAAAAAUAAAAAAAAGUUAGAAACCGUAUAUACACCAAUGAUAACAAAUAGUAGAGUAAGAUGCAUCGAUAGCCGCCGCCAUGUUAUUUCAGUCACGCGACGCGUUUCGUGUUAUCAUGUGAUCAACAUGAUGACUCAUCGCUCCCCAGGCUUAUUCAAAUUAGACGAAGUCGACUAGUGUUACUUCGAACAUUGUCAAGUAGUGAGUGCGUUUUUAUUUAUUUCAUUUUCCAAUAUUAACUGAUUUUAAUAGUUU
RNAcentral lists this long non-coding RNA (308 nucleotides) under Androctonus crassicauda. The record is from RNAcentral. Lineage: Eukaryota; Metazoa; Arthropoda; Arachnida; Scorpiones; Buthidae.